This 243-nucleotide ribosomal RNA is filed under the name uncultured bacterium. RNAcentral describes it as "partial 16S ribosomal RNA". It matches the Rfam family "Bacterial small subunit ribosomal RNA", at positions 524 to 764 of the family's 1533-position model. The record is from RNAcentral.
UACGUAGGGUGCGAGCGUUAAUCGGAAUUACUGGGCGUAAAGCGUGCGCAGGCGGUCUGUUAAGACCGAUGUGAAAUCCCCGGGCUUAACCUGGGAACUGCAUUGGUGACUGGCAGGCUUUUGAGUGUGGCAGAGGGAGGUAGAAUUCCACGUGUAGCAGUGAAAAUGCGUAGAGAUGUGGAGGAAUACCGAUGGCGAAGGCAGCCUCCUGGGCCAACACUGACGCUCAUGCACAAAGCUGGG